Molecule: non-coding RNA, 294 nt
Organism: Nestor notabilis (Kea)
Lineage: Eukaryota; Metazoa; Chordata; Aves; Psittaciformes; Psittacidae
Source: the annotation of a RefSeq genome assembly
GUUCCCUGGUCCAGGCAGCGCUGACUCAGCCCUCAUCAGUGUCAGUGGAGCCAGGAAAGGACGUCCAGAUCACCUGCUCUGGUGGUAGCAGCUGGUAUGGCUGGUUCCAGCAGAAGGUACCAGGCAGUGCCCCUGUCACUGUGAUCUACUACAACGACAAGAGACCCUCGGGCAUCCCUUCGCGAUUCUCCGGGUCUACAUCUGGCUCCACGGGCACGUUAACCAUCACUGGGGUCCAAGCCGAGGACGAGGCCGUCUAUUACUGUGGUGGCUGGGACAGCAGCACUAGUGCUG